AGCGCGGGUGCGAGUCGGAGGGUGCAAGCCCGUGGGCGAAGUGAAAGCGAGUGUAAAAACGAGCAGUUUGGGGCGGCAUAAGAUCGUUGAUCUUAAGACCGACCCAGAGCAGUUGCGCUGGGACCCGAAAGAUGGUGAACUAUGCCGGAGUAGGGCAAAGCCAGAGGAAACUCUGGUGGAGGCUCGUAGCGGUGCUGACGUGCAAAUCGCUCGUCGAACUUGGGUAUAGGGGCGAAAGACUAAUCGAACCAUCUAGUAGCUGGUUCCCUCCGAAGUUUCUCUCAGGAUAGCGGGCCGACAAGUUGUUUUGUGCGGUAAAGCGAAUGAUUAGCGCAUUUCGGGGGCGUUUAGCCUUUGGGCGAUUCUCAAACUUUCAAUGCGCAAGGGUGCCGCUGCUUAAUUGAGCGGUACCGGUAAAAACGUCGGCCCUGUGGGCCACUUUUGGUAAGCAGAACUGGCGAUACGGGAUGAACCGUAAGCAUGGUUAAGGCGCCAAACUGCCCGCUUAUAGACCCCACAAAAGGUGUUGAUUCAUCGAGACAGCAGGACGGUGGCCAUGGAAGUCGGAAUCCGCCAAGGAGUGUGUAACAACUCACCUGCCGAAUGAAUUAGCCCUGAAAAUGGAUGGCGCUGAAGCGGGCGGCCGACACCAUGCCGUCUGGACAAGAAAUGUUUUCAGAUGAGUAGGAGGGCGUGGCGGCCGUGUCGAAGCGCGCUUGCAGAAGCGUGUGGAACGGCCGCUAGUGCAGAUCUUGGUGGUAGUAGCAAGUAUUCAAGCGAGAUCCUUGAAGGGCGAAGUGGGGAAGGGUUUCACGCGAACAUUGAUUGGGCGUGAGUGAGUCGUUCCUAAGCCGAGUGGCAAUUGCUAAUUAACGGCGAAAGGGAAGCGGGUUGACAUUCCCGCACACGGAUGUGGAGGCGGCGACGCAUUAUUGGGGCGAACACGCUGGCGAUGGCGCUGGGCAGAGUUGUCUUUUCUGUUUGACCGCUUGCGCACGCAGUGUGGAAUCCGCUUGUCGGGAGAAACACGCGUGUACGGGCAGAGCGCUGGGGCUUUUCCAGCGUCCAGCUCGCCAUCGACGGCCCUUGAAACUUUGCCUGCUG
Molecule: ribosomal RNA, 1104 nt
Filed under: Chondrus crispus (carragheen)
Lineage: Eukaryota; Rhodophyta; Florideophyceae; Gigartinales; Gigartinaceae
Also listed under: 1 other name
Description: eukaryotic LSU rRNA
Rfam family: Eukaryotic large subunit ribosomal RNA
Source: RNAcentral